This 458-nucleotide ribosomal RNA is filed under the name uncultured bacterium. RNAcentral's name for it is "bacterial SSU rRNA". It matches the Rfam family "Bacterial small subunit ribosomal RNA", at positions 340 to 786 of the family's 1533-position model. The record is from RNAcentral.
UACGGAAGGCAGCAGUGGGGAAUAUUGCACAAUGGGCGAAAGCCUGAUGCAGCUAUGCCGCGUGUAUGAAGAAGGCCUUAGGGUUGUAAAGUACUUUCAUCGGGGAGGAAAAAACAAAACUAAUAAUUUUAUUUCUUGACGUUACCCGAAAAAGAAGCACCGGCUAACUCUGUGCCAGCAGCCGCGGUAAUACAGAGGGUGCGAGCGUUAAUCGGAAUUACUGGGCGUAAAGCGAGUGUAGGUGGCUCAUUAAGUCACAUGUGAAAUCCCCCGGGGCUUAACCUGGGAACUGCAUGUGAUACUGGUGGUGCUAGAAUAUGUGAGAGGGAAGUAGAAUUCCAGGUGUAGCGGUGAAAUGCGUAGAGAUCUGGAGGAAUACCGAUGGCGAAGGCAGCUUCCUGGGCAUAUAUUGACACUGAGAUUCGAAAGCGUGGGUAGCAAACAGGAUUAGGAAUACC